RNAcentral lists this long non-coding RNA (235 nucleotides) under Trifolium pratense (red clover). Its description in RNAcentral is "long non-coding RNA (TPRA_LNC001778)". The record is from RNAcentral. Lineage: Eukaryota; Viridiplantae; Streptophyta; Magnoliopsida; Fabales; Fabaceae.
UCUGACCCGCGAGUGGGACUCACUGGAGCAUGAACAGUGUAUCUUCAACCUCUGGCGGGUCGACCCGUGACCAGAAACGGGUCAAAACUGGGUUGCGCUCCAUCACCAUUUUCUCCGCGUUUUCAGCCCUGUUUCGUGCGAUUUUUGGUGCGUUUCGACCAGAAUUCAAUCUUCUAAAGAUUUUAACACAAAAUUAUCAAGUUUUAAACAUCAAAACGUGAGAUUUAAAACAAAA